AGCGAACGCUGGCGGCAGGCCUAACACAUGCAAGUCGAACGAACUCUUCGGAGUUAGUGGCGGACGGGUGAGUAACACGUGGGAACGUGCCUUUUGGUUCGGAAUAACUCAGGGAAACUUGUGCUAAUACCGAAUGUGCCCUUCGGGGGAAAGAUGUAUCGCCAUUAGAGCGGCCCGCGUCUGAUUCGCUGGUUGGUGAGGUAACGGCUCACCAAGGGGACGAUCAGUAGCUGGUCUGAGAGGAUGACCAGCCACACUGGGACUGCGACACGGCCCAGACUCCUACGGGAGGCAGCAGUGGGGAAUCUUGCGCAAGGGGCGAAAGCCUGACGCAGCCAUGCCGGGGGAAUGAGGAAGGUCUUAGGAUUGUAAAAUUCUUUCACCGGGGACGAUAAUGACGGUACCCGGAGAAGAAGCCCCGGCUAACUUCGUG
RNAcentral lists this ribosomal RNA (433 nucleotides) under uncultured bacterium. RNAcentral's name for it is "partial 16S ribosomal RNA". It matches the Rfam family "Bacterial small subunit ribosomal RNA", at positions 29 to 507 of the family's 1533-position model. The record is from RNAcentral.